Molecule: long non-coding RNA, 2921 nt
Filed under: Elaeis guineensis (African oil palm)
Lineage: Eukaryota; Viridiplantae; Streptophyta; Magnoliopsida; Arecales; Arecaceae
Description: long non-coding RNA (EGUI_LNC029157)
Source: RNAcentral
GUUAAUACUUCAGUUUUGGUGGCAAGCAAGACUGAGUUACCUAGUCCACUAUCGCUUCUUUUAUUGUGUGGAUUAUGAUAUCUGUACUAAUCGCGGCUAACUGAGCAAUGCCACUAAACAACUGCGGUCGGAACUUUUUUAUCUCAAAAUGGUUAUCUGUAACUGCUUCAAGCAUGGUACCAUUUGUUUUUCCCUACACAAUACAAUUUUCUAUUGGCUUGUAUGAUUUACCUAAAUUGUUGAUUUUUUUUUGCUGAUAUUGUCACAUUAUUUAUUCUUUGGUUGUCUGAGGAUUUGAAUGUUUCUAGCUUGUAUUGCCAAAUCAUUUAUUAUGUCCAUCAAAACAUCAAUGAAGUCUUUUUUUUUUUUUUUUUUAAUUUUGUAUUACAUCUUUUUUGCCUUUUCCAUUUUUGAGAGUUUUUGACCCAUGUGAUGGUGAUGGGAGAUAUUUUUUUUCUCUGUGAAAAUCUCCUUAAAUUGUUGGAGCAAACCCAUCAUGUUUUGUAUAUUUGUAAGUGAAUGUUCUUUGGAUGUUUGAUGUUUCUUUUGAAAGUGCAAUACUUAAGAGGAAGUAUUUCCACCCAGAAAUAGUCUCAUAUUCCAUUGCCUGGGGAAGCAAUGUUGUUGCUGUUACCUUUUGGGACUGGACAUUUGACAUACAUAUACCUUUAUUCUUUUGUUUUCUACAUUUAAACUAAGAAUCGGAGUAGACAUGUUGUUUUCUACCUAACAACCUCUUGCUACAAGGAGUGGGUGGUGUCAGGUGUGAUGAAGGAGAUUUUUCUGGGUGAAAAUAUCCUUAACCUGUUGGAGCAAACCAAUCAUGUUUGUAAUUCCUAAGUAGACAUCACAUAGAAAGUCCUUUGGUGUUGAUGAUUCUUCUUGAAAGUUCAAUCCUUCCAUGAAAUUCCUCCACUUGAUGGCGGUCUCAUAUACCAUUGCCUGGAGUUGCAGCAUCACUGCCAUUGCCUGUUGGGACUGGCCAUGCGGCAUACAUAUACCUCUAUUAUUUUGGUUUUUGGUUUAAACUAAGCAUAGUGUAGACAUGUUGUUUUGUUGUCUACACAACUGCCUCUUGCUACAAGGAGUGGCUAGUGUUAAGUGUGACGAAGGAGAUUUUUCUGGGUGAAAAUUUUUUUAACCUGUUGGAGCAAACCAAUCAUGUUUGUAAAUUCCUAAGUAAACGUCAUAUAGAAAGUCCUUGGGCGUUGAUGGUUCUUCUUGAAAGUUCAAUCCUUCCAGGAAGUUCCUCCACCUGAUGACGGUCUCAUAUUCCAUCGUCUGAAGCAGCAGCACCGCUGCCGUUACCUUUCAGGACUGGCCAUGGGGCACACAUACACUGCUGUUCUUUUGUUUUUUUAUUUUAAAAAACUAAACUAAGCAUAGAGUAGAGAAUUGUUUCAUUUCUACUCAACUGGUUCUUGCCAAAAGGAGUGGCCAGUGUCAAGUGUGACGAAGGAGAAAAUCUCCUUAACUUGUUGGAGCAAACCAAUCAUGUUUGUAAAUUCCUAAGUAAACGUCACAUAGAAAGUCCUUGGGUGUUGAUGGUUCUUCUAGAAAGUUUAAUCCUUUCAGGAAGUUCCUCCACCUGAUGGCAGUCUCAUAUUCCAUCGCCUGGAGCAGCAGCAUCGCUGCUGUUACCUUUCAGGACUGGCCAUGACACAUACAUAUGCUGCUAAUUUUUUUUUUAAAAAAUAAACUAACAUAGAGUAGGCAUAUUGUUUUGUUUUCUACCCAACCGCUUCUUGCUACAAGGAGUGGGUAGUGUCAAGUGUGACAAAGGAGAUUUUUCUGGGUGAAAUCUCUUUUAACUUGUUGGAGCAAACCAAUCAUGUUUGUAAAUUCCUAAGUAAAUGUCAUAUAGAAAGUCCUUGGGUGUUGAUGGUUCUUCUUGAAAGUUCAAUCCUUCCAGGAAGUUCCUCCACCUGAUGGCGGUCUCAUAUUCCAUCGCCUGGAGCAGCAGCAUUGCUGCCGUUACCUUUCAGGACUGGCCAUGAGACACACAUACACUGCUAUUAUAUUAUUAUUAUUAUUUUUAAAAGGAUUAAACUAAGCAUAGAGGAGACAAUGGUUUCGUUUCUACCCAACUGCUUGCUACAAGGAGUGGCUGGUGUCAAGUGCGACGGAGGAGAUUUUUCUGGGUGAAAAUCUCCUUAACUUGUUGGAGCAAACCAAUCAUGUUUGUAAAUUCCUAAGACAACGUCACAUAGAAAGUCCUUGGGUGUUGAUGGUUCUUCUAGAAAGUUCAAUCCUUUCAGAAAGUUCCUCCACCUGAUGGCGGUCUCAUAUUCCAUCGCCUGGAGCAGCAGCAUCGCUGCCUUUACCUUUCAGGACUGGCCAUGAGACAUACAUACACUGCUAUUCUUUUACUUUAAAAAAAAAAACUAACAUAGAUUCGGCAUAUUGUUUUGUUUUCUACCCAACUGCUUCUUGCUACAAGGAGUGGGUAGUGUCAAGUGUGACGAAGGAGAUUUUUCUGGGUGAAAAUCUCUUUAACUUGUUGGAGCAAACCAAUCAUGUUUGUAAAUUCCUAAGUAAACGUCAUAUAGAAAGUCCUUGGGUGUUGAUGGCUUUUCUUGAAAGUUCAAUCCUUCCAGGAAGUUCCUCCACCUGAUGACGGUCUCAUAUUCCAUCGCCUGGAGCAGCAGCAUCGCUGCCAUUACCUUUCGGGACUGGCCAUGAGACAGACAUGCACUUUUGCUCUUUUGUUUAUUAUUUAAACUUAUCAUCACUAGAUGCAUGUUGUUUCCCACCCAGCUUGUAUAUACAUGUGGGUUUUAUGGGAACUUGAAAAGCAAUUUAAGUGGGAUCAUGUGGUGUUUUCAAGUUUUCACCAUGGUAUCUUUGACUUCUAAAAUCUUGCUUAUAGCCUGCAGUAAAAGCAUGUCUUGUAAUUCAUUACAUUCUGCAAUUGUCCCCUU